RNAcentral lists this ribosomal RNA (253 nucleotides) under uncultured bacterium. RNAcentral's name for it is "partial 16S ribosomal RNA". It matches the Rfam family "Bacterial small subunit ribosomal RNA", at positions 524 to 776 of the family's 1533-position model. The record is from RNAcentral.
UACAGAGGUCUCAAGCGUUGUUCGGAUUCAUUGGGCGUAAAGGGUGCGUAGGUGGCGGGGUAAGUCAGGUGUGAAAUCUCGGGGCUCAACCCCGAAACUGCACUUGAUACUGCCUUGCUCGAGUACUGGAGAGGAGAUUGGAAUUUACGGUGUAGCAGUGAAAUGCGUAGAUAUCGUAAGGAAGACCAGUGGCGAAGGCGGCUGCCUGGCCCAAUACUGACACUCAGGUGCGACAGCGUGGGGAGCAAACAGG